UCCAAGUUAGCGAGGUCACGCAAC
This 24-nucleotide non-coding RNA is filed under the name Arabidopsis thaliana (thale cress). Lineage: Eukaryota; Viridiplantae; Streptophyta; Magnoliopsida; Brassicales; Brassicaceae. The record is from RNAcentral.